Anolis carolinensis (green anole) is the source of this 1281-nucleotide long non-coding RNA. RefSeq lists it as uncharacterized. The transcript has 3 exons. NCBI's taxonomy places the organism in Eukaryota, Metazoa, Chordata, Lepidosauria, Squamata, Anolidae. The record is from RefSeq and is a predicted model, not a curated record.
UUUGUUGCUACGGGCAACAGGCAGGCGCGGUGGAAAGACCAGGAAGGAGAGAAGGCCUGAAAGCGAAUAAGUAAGCAAGUAAGUAGUCAAGUAAGAUUGAGAAGCGAACUGGAGAGGCCAUUUGGCAAACGAAAUAAAAAGGAUAACAUUUGCUGUAUUGGUUGCAAAAAUCUAUCAUGCAGAUGGAAGGAAGUAUGCAGCUGCAACGGAUCUGAAGAAGAAAAAGAUCUGUGAACUGAUAAAAUUGCUCAAGUCCUGCUCUGCUCAAUGCCCUUACAGUGAAUACUUUCCAUGUGCCUCCAUAAUUUACGCCAUGCUACAGAUGGCUGAAGCCUUCAUAUUUAGAGAGAAAGAAAGAAAAUGCCUCUCCAAGUUUGAUAUUUAAAAUGCCUAAUUCUAUUAAUCUGACACGCACACCUUGUCACUAACACUUACUUAUAUCAGGGGUACUUUGUUUCUGCCUAAAAUCAGAUUCCUAAUCAACAUAUGAACGUUUUUUUUCAGUUUGUCUCUUUGCACUUUAUAUCUGAGGAUAUGGACACCCCAUUUCUCCAAGUAAGAAAUGUUUUAGAAUCCAGUCUAUUUCACUUGGAAAGAAGUGAUCGUAAUCAGCCUUCACUUCACAGUUACCAAUUACUAUUUUUCUCAAAGAAUAACAGUUUUGCAUAUAGACAGGUUUAAUGUGAGAGUACACUUUGGAAUGAACAAGGGAAUGGCAGACUUUUUUCGGAUUUAAUUCUCACAUAAUCAGAAUUUACUGAAUUGCUUUCUCAAACAUCUGUUGCAGCCAACCUGGUAUUUUCCAGAUGUUUGGACUACAACCUUCAUCAGCACCAGCUAGAACCUGAAAUUGUGGUAGUUGUAAAUUGGCAAAGACUAAUAAACGAGAUGUCCAUCUGAAUUAGUUUUCCAAACUACAAUGCAUAUUAGGGUAUGGAAGAUGUAUGUCACUCCUCCAGUCUCAUUUUCCCUCAUUGCCAGUAUGGCAGAUGAGGAAGGAAGAACAUCAUUGGCUCAAACUGAUAUCAGAGAAAGAGGCUCUGAUUCAUAGAAUCACAGAGUUGGAAAAGACCACAAAAAUUAUCCAAUCCAGCCCCCUGCCAUACAUGAACACACAGUCAAAGCAUCCCCGACAGAUGGCCAGUCUCUGCUUUAAAACCUCCGGAGAAGGAGACCCCACCAUGCUCCAAGGCAACAUAUUCCACUGUCGCACAGCUCUUUGUGCUGGGGAGUUCUUCCAGGAAAAGAUAUUCCUUCAGGUGGCAUUUCUUUUCCUGAAAU